CUUUCUCUGAACGACAUUACGGUUCAGGGCGGAAGGAG
This 38-nucleotide non-coding RNA is filed under the name unclassified sequences. The record is from Rfam.